GUCUGAAUUAUGGAACCCUAAUAUCAGUUCGCGUCUCGGUUGUUCUUAACUAACAGCUUCAACCUAUCAUGGCGGGAGGAAGUAACUUUCUCCAAAGAGUUCUCUCAUAUGUCAUUAAUGAAUUCGUUGUAAAUGGGCUUGCAAACAGCCCAAGAUUCCAGAGAUUUGCUGUGAGGACAUCCAAAACAAUUGAGGAGGUCUCGAAAUUAGCUGAAGAAAAGAAGAAAGAGAUUGCAGAGCAAAUAAAGGAUGCAUCCAAAAAAUUUUGAGAAUAUAUUAUUGGGAAUGGCCAUCCCAUUUCAAGUAUGGAGUCGCAAAAAAGGAGCAGAUCAGGAUUGCUACUGCAGUUUUCCAAAUACUAAAGCAUGCUGUGUAAAUGAGGCAUAACAUUUCUUACUAGUUUUAAUCUGAGACUGUAAUUUCUUUUAUAUGAUUUCUAUAUCUUCUUUUUCUUUUUAGUUUUUUUUUUUUUAAAAAAGAUGUCCAAAGACUAUUUGUAGUGAGAAUAUGAAAGCAAUAGCAUAGCCAUAAGGUCAGCAAGGUGCCAAAAUAAUUGGUUAAUUAUUUUGUAAUAAUUGUAUCAUUUGAGCAUUAAAAUUUUUAAGUCAUAA
Ipomoea nil (Japanese morning glory) is the source of this 611-nucleotide long non-coding RNA. RefSeq lists it as uncharacterized. The record is from RefSeq and is a predicted model, not a curated record. The transcript has 4 exons. NCBI's taxonomy places the organism in Eukaryota, Viridiplantae, Streptophyta, Magnoliopsida, Solanales, Convolvulaceae.